Molecule: non-coding RNA, 29 nt
Filed under: Cricetulus griseus (Chinese hamster)
Lineage: Eukaryota; Metazoa; Chordata; Mammalia; Rodentia; Cricetidae
Source: RNAcentral
CAAAAGUCACAAGACUAUAAAUGCUUUGC